This 73-nucleotide transfer RNA is filed under the name Thermoplasmata archaeon. RNAcentral describes it as "tRNA-Pro". It matches the Rfam family "tRNA". From Rfam's summary of the family: Transfer RNA (tRNA) molecules are approximately 80 nucleotides in length. The record is from RNAcentral. RNAcentral also lists the same sequence under 1 other name. Lineage: Archaea; Methanobacteriati; Thermoplasmatota; Thermoplasmata.
GGGCCUGUGGGGUAGCUUGGCAUCCUUCCAGCUUGGGGUGCUGGUAACCCGAGUUCAAAUCUCGGCAGGCCCA